Syzygium oleosum is the source of this 1195-nucleotide RNA transcript. It is a transcript of the gene named aspartate--tRNA ligase 2, cytoplasmic-like, with no coding region annotated. The transcript is spliced from 5 exons. The record is from RefSeq and is a predicted model, not a curated record. Lineage: Eukaryota; Viridiplantae; Streptophyta; Magnoliopsida; Myrtales; Myrtaceae.
GGUGACUUUGGGUGUGUUUUUGAGAUUGGCCCUGUUUUUAGGGCAGAAAACUCCUUCACACAUAGGCAUUUGUGUGAAUUUACUGGCCUUGAUGUUGAAAUGGAGAUUAAGAAGCACUAUUGUGAGGUAAUGGACAUUGUGGACAAGUUGUUCGUUACAAUGUUCGACUCAUUGAAUGCGAGUUGCAAGAAAGAACUUGAAGCUAUUGGAAGACAAUACCCCUUUGAACCUUUAAAGUACUUGAGAAAGACCUUGUGGCUUACUUUCAAGAAGAUGUUCAAAUGCUCAAGGGCUGAUUUUGUUGGCUGUUUUGAUAUUCGCGAAAAUGGAGGAUCUCGUGGCUUUGUUUGAGCCCAUUGCAUUGUCUCCGUCGGAGUCUUCGAUAAUAUUGCUACUCCUGGUUUUCUCAUGUUUGCUUUAAGCUGGUUUGGUUUUGUUGUCUCUGUUUUUUCUCUCUUUUGACUGUUCUCCUUUCGGCUCUACUAUAGCUCAUAGCAUCUGAAUAUAUUUUACUCGUAUUCUUGCAAUGCAAAGGAAAAGAGGCAAUAGAUUCUAAGAAGCAAAUGUGAUUUGGUAUGUUAACCUAUAUUGGCAUAUUGUAUUGGGCUACAUAGCUUAGCUGGGUCAAAGCUGAUGUGAUUGGUUCCAUCUUUUUCCUCUCCUUGCUUUUAGUCGUGGGGCUUGGGUUUUUGAGGAUGGGAAUGAAUGGGGCAAUCAAGAGUCCAAAACCCCUCUUUUGUCUUCUGGUCUUGGGGGUUGCACCAGGUGUUAUUUGCUUUUUUAGAAAAUACCCUGUGGGAGAAUUAUGGCUUCAUUCAAAAUGAUUGAUUAUUUGAAUGCAGUGAUACCUGCUUAGAAUCAUGCAUUUGUGGAAAGUCAUGUGUAUUGUUCUUUGCACGUUGCGGGUGCUGGAAGCACUCCACUUCAUUAUGCUGCUUGUGGUGGAAGUGUGCAGUGUUGUCAGUGUGCAGUUGUGGACAGUGAACCAAUUUGGAACACCUACGUUGCACCUUUGUUUCUUUACUUCUAUUAGAUUUAUCACUGAAAGUGAACUUCAACAUUUUUCCUCUAUAUUUCAUUUACCUUCGUUGCUUUACUUAAUUAAGAUUGCUUGCUUCACAGUCAUUAUGUAUCCUUUAGAAGCUGAAUAUAUUAACAUUUAAUGUGGACACAAUGUCACUAAUUUUGUGUCUAA